Molecule: unclassified non-coding RNA, 274 nt
Filed under: Yarrowia lipolytica
Lineage: Eukaryota; Fungi; Ascomycota; Dipodascomycetes; Dipodascales
Source: RNAcentral
AGAGCACAAUCAUAAACAUACAACAGCUUUCAACACACCAGCAAACAACAGCCUAAGAGUUGAAAUGCGACGACUCAAUGUCAAUCUCUCUCUAGGCAGUGAUACCCCUGCGACACAAACCUGACAAGCCACUAACGACACCUCCGACACAAACACGAUGAUUAACUAUACAGACGCACACACACACUCUACAUAGAGACUUUAUGAUACCUGAAGCAGACCUACUACAAGUAGUCGUCUCCUCUAUAUAGCACGAACAGACAUGAUAAUAAGC